This 226-nucleotide long non-coding RNA is filed under the name Mytilus galloprovincialis (Mediterranean mussel). Lineage: Eukaryota; Metazoa; Mollusca; Bivalvia; Mytilida; Mytilidae. The record is from RNAcentral.
UUUUUUUUUCUGUACAAAACUUUUUUUUUUCGCCUGUGGCGAAAAACAAUCUAUUUUUUUCGCGACAAGUCGAAAACAAUUUUUUUCUUUCAAUUUUAGCAUUACAUAUUGUGGCAGCUGAGGGUGAAACAAACAAUUUUUUUUUCUCAGAAUCAAAGACAAAUUAUUUUUUUCUCCAAAAACUGGAAACAAACUUUUUUUUCCAAAAAAAACCAUAGCCCCCCCC